Molecule: non-coding RNA, 811 nt
Organism: Lactuca sativa (garden lettuce)
Lineage: Eukaryota; Viridiplantae; Streptophyta; Magnoliopsida; Asterales; Asteraceae
Source: RefSeq, a predicted model, not a curated record
GAUCGGACCAUCACAAUUGGCAAAGGUACUGCCUGAUAGAAGCCCCUCACUAUCCAUUCCUACCAUUUUUCCCUCUAUAGGCCAGACCAUCAUUCCAUUGGACUUCAAGCCACAUCUAUCAUCAUCUCUUCUGAAUAAGAAAAGGAAAAAGUUUAAAGAGGCGCAAGAGUCAGCUAGGAAGGAUGUGGAGCGAACAUUUGGUGUACUUAAGAGACGUUGGCAAGUACUAACGGUCAGGGCAAGGUCAUAUGAGGUGAAAAGGUUACAGCACGUAAUGUAUGCAUGUAUCAUAUUGCAUAAUAUGAUUCUUGAAGACAAAGGAAGGGUGAUAUGCCGGUACAACGAAAAUGAAGUUUUGCCAAAUGUCGAAGGAGUAGCCGUUGGUACACAAGAGUAUAGGGUGAAUAGAAGAGAAGUACACAAUCGCGACAUUCAUCACACUCUUCGUGUUGACUUGGUGGACCACAUUUAUAGGGCUCAUAUUCAGCAUCCGUUAGAGUUUUCUAUGAUGAUUUGUUUGACGAAUCAGACGAGGAUUCUGAUAUGUUCGUCGACAGUGAAGAUUCCGACGACGAGAGUGACGCUGGGGAGAAUGAUGAAGACGAUCAAGGCGAUGACGAGGACGAUGAGGGCGAUAACGAAGACGAUGAUUCCGAGUGAAGUAUUUUGGUUUAAAUAAAAUUAGGAUUUUAAUUAUCUUUUCUAUCUUGUGGGUUGUUUUAUUUUUCUUUUUAUUUUUCUACUUAUUUAAAUAUUAGGUUUAAUGUAAUUUUUAUUUUAAUUAAUGAAAUACUUUUUAUUUUUAAUUAAA